RNAcentral lists this ribosomal RNA (498 nucleotides) under uncultured bacterium. Its description in RNAcentral is "partial 16S ribosomal RNA". It matches the Rfam family "Bacterial small subunit ribosomal RNA", at positions 30 to 523 of the family's 1533-position model. The record is from RNAcentral.
AUUGAACGCUGGCGGCAUGCCUUACACAUGCAAGUCGAACGGUAACAGGUCUUCGGAUGCUGACGAGUGGCGAACGGGUGAGUAAUACAUCGGAACGUGCCUAGUAGUGGGGGAUAACUACUCGAAAGAGUGGCUAAUACCGCAUGAGAUCUACGGAUGAAAGCAGGGGAUCGCAAGACCUUGUGCUACUAGAGCGGCCGAUGGCAGAUUAGGUAGUUGGUGGGAUAAAAGCUUCCCAAGCCGACGAUCUGUAGCUGGUCUGAGAGGACGAUCAGCCACACUGGGACUGAGAAACGGCCCAGACUCCUACGGGAGGCAGCAGUGGGGAAUUUUGGACAAUGGGCGCAAGCCUGAUCCAGCAAUGCCGCGUGCAGGAUGAAGGCCUUCGGGUUGUAAACUGCUUUUGUACGGAACGAAAAGCCCCGGGUUAAUACCCUGGGGUCAUGACGGUACCGUAAGAAUAAGCACCGGCUAACUAUGUGCCAGCCGCCGCCGUAA